RNAcentral lists this ribosomal RNA (531 nucleotides) under fungal endophyte. RNAcentral describes it as "eukaryotic LSU rRNA". The stretch from base 190 to 343 matches the Rfam family "5.8S ribosomal RNA". The record is from RNAcentral. Lineage: Eukaryota; Fungi.
CUUCCGUAGGUGAACCUGCGGAAGGAUCAUUAUCGAGCUGAGACCCCCCUCCCGGGGUCGAUCUCCCACCCUUUGUAUACCCUUCCCCUCUGUUGCUUUGGCGGUCGCGCGGCCCGCGGGCCCCCCGCCAGAGGAAACCCCAAACCCGAACGAACCUUACCGUCCGAUCAAAAACCACAAAUACGUUAAAACUUUCAACAACGGAUCUCUUGGCUCUGGCAUCGAUGAAGAACGCAGCGAAAUGCGAUAAGUAAUGUGAAUUGCAGAAUUCAGUGAAUCAUCGAAUCUUUGAACGCACAUUGCGCCCCUUGGUAUUCCGAGGGGCAUGCCUGUUCGAGCGUCAUUAUCACCCCUCAAGCGCUUGCUUGGUGUUGGGGCGUGCCCUCCCGGGGGCAGCCCUCAAAAUCAGUGGCGGCAGCCGCCUGGCUCCGAGCGUAGUAACUUUACUCCUCGCUAUGGUGCCGGUGCGGGUCGUUGGCCAUCAACCCUCCACGUCCACGACGAUUGACCUCGGAUCAGGUAGCUCCGGUC